AUUGAACGCUGGCGGCAGGCCUAACACAUGCAAGUCGAACGGUAACAGGAAGCAGCUUGCUGCUUUGCUGACGAGUGGCGGACGGGUGAGUAAUGUCUGGGAAACUGCCUGAUGGAGGGGGAUAACUACUGGAAACGGUAGCUAAUACCGCAUAACGUCGCAAGACCAAAGAGGGGGACCUUAGGGCCUCUUGCCAUCGGAUGUGCCCAGAUGGGAUUAGCUAGUAGGUGGGGUAACGGCUCACCUAGGCGACGAUCCCUAGCUGGUCUGAGAGGAUGACCAGCCACACUGGAACUGAGACGCGGUCCAGACUCCUACGGGAGGCAGCAGUGGGGAAUAUUGCACAAUGGGCGCAAGCCUGAUGCAGCCAUGCCGCGUGUAUGAAGAAGGCCUUCGGGUUGUAAAGUACUUUCAGCGGGGAGGAAGGGAGUAAAGUUAAUACCUUUGCUCAUUGACGUUACCCGCAGAAGAAGCACCGGCUAACUCCGUG
Molecule: ribosomal RNA, 490 nt
Filed under: uncultured bacterium
Lineage: Bacteria
Description: partial 16S ribosomal RNA
Rfam family: Bacterial small subunit ribosomal RNA
Source: RNAcentral